This 323-nucleotide ribosomal RNA is filed under the name Mallophora sp. BYU_ACDI030. RNAcentral describes it as "eukaryotic LSU rRNA". It matches the Rfam family "Eukaryotic large subunit ribosomal RNA", at positions 80 to 385 of the family's 3401-position model. Lineage: Eukaryota; Metazoa; Arthropoda; Insecta; Diptera; Asilidae. The record is from RNAcentral.
UUAGUAGCGGCGAGCGAAAAGAAAAUAGUUCAGCACUGAGUUAUUUUGUUUUUAUAGCAAAUAUAAGAUGCAGUGUAUGGAAUAUCUAUAAUCUAGUAUGAUAAAUUAACAGUCCAAGUCCUUCUUAAAUGAGGCCAUUUACCCAUAGAGGGUGCCAGGCCCGUAGUGACGUUAAUGAUUACUAGAAGAUAUUUCUUAAGAGUCGUGUUGCUUGAUAGUGCAGCACUAAUUGGGUGGUAAACUCCAUCUAAAACUAAAUAUAACCAUGAGACCGAUAGCAAACAAGUACCGUGAGGGAAAGUUGAAAAGAACUCUGAAUAGAG